UUCCGGUUGAUCCCGCCGGACCCCACUGCUAUCGGGAUAGGACUAAGACAUGCUAGUCGAGCGCCUCAGCCAAAACGAGGCGCGGCAUACAGCUCAGUAACACGUGGCUAAUCUGCCCUUAGGACGAGAACAACCCCGGGAAACUGGGGCUAACUCUCGAUAGGUGAAGAACACUGGAAUGUGUCUCCACCCAAACAGUUCAGGGUUAUGCUCCUUGAAUCGCCUAAGGAUGAGGCCGCGACCGAUCAGGUUGUUGGUGAGGUAAUGGCUCACCAAGCCUUUUACCGGUGCGGGCCGUGAGAGCGGGAGCCCGGAGAUGGGCACUGAGACAAGGGCCCAGGCCCUACGGGGCGCAGCAGUCGCGAAAACUUUGCAAUACACGAAAGUGUGACAGGGCUAUCCCGAGUGCCAUCCGCUGAGGAAGGCUUUUACCCAGUCUAGAAAGCUGGGGGAAUAAGGAGAGGGCAAGUCUGGUGUCAGCCGCCGCGGUAAUACCAGCUCUCCGAGUGGUGUGGAUGUUUAUUGGGCCUAAAGCAUCCGUAGCUGGCUAAGUUAGUCCCUUGUUAAAUCCACCGAAUUAAUCGUUGGAUCGCGGGGGAU
RNAcentral lists this ribosomal RNA (600 nucleotides) under uncultured archaeon. Its description in RNAcentral is "bacterial SSU rRNA". It matches the Rfam family "Archaeal small subunit ribosomal RNA", at positions 1 to 582 of the family's 1478-position model. The record is from RNAcentral.